This 253-nucleotide ribosomal RNA is filed under the name uncultured bacterium. RNAcentral describes it as "partial 16S ribosomal RNA". It matches the Rfam family "Bacterial small subunit ribosomal RNA", at positions 524 to 776 of the family's 1533-position model. The record is from RNAcentral.
UACGAAGGGGGCUAGCGUUGUUCGGAAUUACUGGGCGUAAAGCGCACGUGGGCGGAUAUUUAAGUCAGGGGUGAAAUCCCAGAGCUCAACUCUGGAACUGCCUUUGAUACUGGGUAUCUCGAGUAUGGAAGAGGUGAGUGGAAUUCCGAGUGUAGAGGUGAAAUUCGUAGAUAUUCGGAGGAACACCAGUGGCGAAGGCGGCUCACUGGUCCAUUACUGACGCUGAGGUGCGAAAGCGUGGGGAGCAAACAGG